This 460-nucleotide ribosomal RNA is filed under the name uncultured bacterium. RNAcentral's name for it is "partial 16S ribosomal RNA". It matches the Rfam family "Bacterial small subunit ribosomal RNA", at positions 338 to 795 of the family's 1533-position model. The record is from RNAcentral.
CCUACGGGUGGCAGCAGUGAGGAAUAUUGGUCAAUGGGCGCGAGCCUGAACCAGCCAAGUAGCGUGAAGGUCAGUGCCCUAUGGGCUUUAAACUUCUUUUGUGCGGGAGCAAUAAUGGUCACGUGUGGCCAGACGAGAGUACCGUACGAAUAAGCAUCGGCUAACUCCGUGCCAGCAGCCGCGGUAAUACGGGGGAUGCAGGCGUUAUCCGGAUUUUUUGGGUUUAAAGGGUGCGUAGGCUGUUAGGUAAGUCAGCGGUGAAAUGCCCGCGCUCAACGGGGUGAAGUGCCAUUGAUACUGCCUUGCUGGAAUGCAGAUGCGGUGGGCGGAAUGUGUGGUGUAGCGGUGAAAUGCAUAGAUAUCACACAGAACACCGAUUGCGAAGGCAUCUCACGAAUCCGCGAUUGACGCUGAUGCACGAAAGCGUGGGUAUCAAACAGGAUUAGAUACCCUAGUAGUC